This 535-nucleotide long non-coding RNA is filed under the name Anas platyrhynchos platyrhynchos (common mallard). Its description in RNAcentral is "lncRNA (ENSAPLG00000030267.1)". Lineage: Eukaryota; Metazoa; Chordata; Aves; Anseriformes; Anatidae. The record is from RNAcentral.
GCUUGCAAUACAUGAUGUGAUCACCUGGGAUGUAUUAGAGAGCUCAAAAAGUAUUUGAGGUGAAUUCUAGCCUGCCUGACUUCUCUUAGGGAGAAGCUAAAUAGAUAUAUCCCAGCUUUCAGAUAUUUAAGCUACUCUGCUUCAUGGAGAUUACUUAAAUCAAAUAAUUAAUUGUUAAGAGAAAAGCUACUUUCCUUACUAAUCAAACUUCAUCCUAAAGAUGCAUCUUAAUGAAUGGGCUAAGUCAACUCGUUGUUCUAGUUACCAGUCAUGGAAUAUUCUUUCUGCUGUGAUACACAUAGAAAGAAGGUUCAUGUUGGACUGUUCUGUAAAAUCUUUCCAUGAAAUGCUAGAACUUUAGUGUUUGCUCCAGGAAAAGGAUCACUGAAUGUGCCGAGAAUGCUGCUUCAAAUGCUGCAGUGUAUAAAGGGGAAAAUACACAUCACAACUCCUCAUGGCUGUGGGCCUGAAGAACAGAAAUUCCCAAGCUUCUUUUGGCAUUACUUUUCGCCCUUAGAUAAGCAGCUUGAAUUCU